RNAcentral lists this long non-coding RNA (218 nucleotides) under Nicotiana benthamiana. RNAcentral's name for it is "long non-coding RNA (NBEN_LNC011575)". Lineage: Eukaryota; Viridiplantae; Streptophyta; Magnoliopsida; Solanales; Solanaceae. The record is from RNAcentral.
GACGUUUGAAUAUUCGCUCAGUAAAUCCAUUCUCUUAUGACACCCUUACCUCAAUUCCCUUCUUCGCCUCAACAGCUAAAGCAUCCCUUUCUGCAGCUCCUGGAACAGCCGAAGAAUCUGGAGUUUAUGAUUCCAAUCCUGAGGCAGGAGAGGGAUAUUUAUAGCUCAGCUGGAGUUGAUUAUUCUACUAUUUUUCAGUUACUUCCGCUACUGAUAAA